GAUGAAGAACGUAGCGAAAUGCGAUAACUAAUGUGAAUUGCAGAAUUCAGUGAAUCAUCGAGUCUUUGAACGCACAUUGCGCCCCCUGGUAUUCCGGGGGGCAUGCCUGUCCGAGCGUCAUUGCUGCCUCAAGCACGGCUUGUGUGUUGGGCUCCGUCCCCCCGGGGACGGGCCCGAAAGGCAGCGGCGGCACCGAGUCCGGUCCUCGAGCGUAUGGGGCUUUGUCACCCGCUCUGUAGGCCCGGCCGGCGCCAGCCGACAACCCAUCAUCCUUUUCAGGUUGACCUCGGAUCAGGUAGGGAUACCCGCUGAACUUAAGCAUAUCAAUAAGCGGAGGA
RNAcentral lists this unclassified non-coding RNA (338 nucleotides) under soil metagenome. RNAcentral's name for it is "partial contains 5.8S ribosomal RNA, internal transcribed spacer 2, and large subunit ribosomal RNA". The stretch from base 1 to 120 matches the Rfam family "5.8S ribosomal RNA", at positions 35 to 154 of the family's 154-position model. The record is from RNAcentral.